UUUCCGUAGGUGAACCUGCGGAAGGAUCAUUACCGAGUGCGGGUUCUCACGAGCCCAACCUCCCACCCGUGUUUACCGUUACCGCGUUGCCUCGGCGGGCCCACUGGGGCCUGGCCCCGGUCGCCGGGGGGCUUCUGCCCCCGGGCCCGCGCCCGCCGACGCACCCUAGAACCCUGCCUGAAUAGUGAGUCUGAGUGAGAUUUGAAAUCAUUAAAACUUUCAACAACGGAUCUCUUGGUUCCGGCAUCGAUGAAGAACGCAGCGAAAUGCGAUAAGUAAUGUGAAUUGCAGAAUUCCGUGAAUCAUCGAAUCUUUGAACGCACAUUGCGCCCCCUGGCAUUCCGGGGGGCAUGCCUGUCCGAGCGUCAUUUCUGCCCUCCAGCACGGCUGGGUGUUGGGCGCUGUCCCCCCGGGGACACGCCCCAAAAGCAGUGGCGGCGCCGCGUCGGGUCCUCGAGCGUAUGGGGCUUUGUCACCCGCUCGGGAGGGACUCGGUCGGCGCUGGUCUUCCCUUUAGGCCGCCCUUCGGGGUGCGCCUCUUCCGGUUGACCUCGGAUCAGGUAGGGCUACCCGCUGAACUUAA
RNAcentral lists this ribosomal RNA (583 nucleotides) under Penicillium sp. Re011124. RNAcentral describes it as "eukaryotic LSU rRNA". The stretch from base 215 to 368 matches the Rfam family "5.8S ribosomal RNA". The record is from RNAcentral. Lineage: Eukaryota; Fungi; Ascomycota; Eurotiomycetes; Eurotiales; Aspergillaceae.